AGGCGGAUGCUAAUCAUGCAAGUCGCACGCUUUAACUUCACCGGGUGCUUGCACCCACCGAAGUUAAGGAGUGGCGGACGGGUGAGUAACACGUGGGUAACCUGCCCAUAAGAGGGGGAUAACAUUCGGAAACGGAUGCUAAUACCGCAUAUUUCUAAUCGUCACAUGACGAAUGGAAGAAAGGUGGCUUCGGCUACCGCUUAUGGAUGGACCCGCGGCGUAUUAGCUAGUUGGUGAGGUAAUGGCUCACCAAGGCGAUGAUACGUAGCCGACCUGAGAGGGUGAUCGGCCACACUGGGACUGAGACACGGCCCAGACUCCUACGGGAGGCAGCAGUAGGGAAUCUUCCGCAAUGGACGAAAGUCUGACGGAGCAAUGCCGCGUGAGUGAAGAAGGUUUUCGGAUCGUAAAACUCUGUUGUUAGAGAAGAACAAGGAUGAGAGUAACUGCUCAUCCCCUGACGGUAUCUAACCAGAAAGCCACGGCUAACUACGUGCCAGCAGCCGCGGUAAUACGUAGGUGGCAAGCGUUGUCCGGAUUUAUUGGGCGUAAAGCGAGCGCAGGCGGUUCUUUAAGUCUGAUGUGAAAGCCCCCGGCUCAACCGGGGAAGGUCAUUGGAAACUGGAGAACUUGAGUGCAGAAGAGGAGAGUGGAAUUCCACGUGUAGCGGUGAAAUGCGUAGAUAUGUGGAGG
Molecule: ribosomal RNA, 693 nt
Filed under: Carnobacterium alterfunditum
Lineage: Bacteria; Bacillati; Bacillota; Bacilli; Lactobacillales; Carnobacteriaceae
Description: bacterial SSU rRNA
Rfam family: Bacterial small subunit ribosomal RNA
Source: RNAcentral